RNAcentral lists this ribosomal RNA (447 nucleotides) under uncultured bacterium. RNAcentral's name for it is "bacterial SSU rRNA". It matches the Rfam family "Bacterial small subunit ribosomal RNA", at positions 329 to 793 of the family's 1533-position model. The record is from RNAcentral.
GCCCAGACUCCUACGGGAGGCAGCAGUGGGGAAUAUUGCACAAUGGGGGAAACCCUGAUGCAGCGACGCCGCGUGAGCGAUGAAGUAUUUCGGUAUGUAAAGCUCUAUCAGCAGGGAAGAAGAUGACGGUACCUGACUAAGAAGCCCCGGCUAACUACGUGCCAGCAGCCGCGGUAAUACGUAGGGGGCAAGCGUUAUCCGGAUUUACUGGGUGUAAAGGGAGCGUAGACGGCGAUGCAAGCCAGAUGUGAAAGCCCGGGGCUCAACCCCGGGACUGCAUUUGGAACUGUGUGGCUGGAGUGUCGGAGAGGCAGGCGGAGUUCCUAGUGUAGCGGUGAAAUGCGUAGAUAUUAGGAAGAACACCAGUGGCGAAGGCGGCUUGCUGGACAGUAACUGACGUUGAGGCUCGAAAGCGUGGGGAGCAAACAGGAUUAGAUACCCCUGUAC